UUAUUUGUUAGUUACUUAAGGUGCAGAUGUUUCCUGAGCUCUUACAUAUGCCAACCACCAGGCUGGGUUAUCUUGUUUUGAUACAAAAAAGGCAUACAGGGUCACUGGCAGCAGACCAGUACUCUCAUCUGCAAAACUCAGCCCUCUGGGAUGGCGUUCAUCACAUCCACCACGCUGGUGAUCUUGCCAAGAGAGAACGGAGCUGAGUCUGAUGUGACAUGCACUUCAUCAUCAUGCCCUGAUGAUCCUGAGCUUCCUCCAAGAAGAGGCAAAGGCAGCUUAAUCUCAGCAUGAGGGAGAGGCUAGGAGACCCCAGUCUCUGCCCACGUCAUCCAAAGCAUCUGUUCUUGACUGAAGUGGUGACACAGAACCAGGGUGGGGAGCUCUGUUUUCUCUUCACCACCCCAUAUUAUACCCUACCCUACAUGGGCUUGCCUCAUCCAUCACAGCUUGUGUUUCUCACCUGAUAUCAAAUUUAAGAACCUAAUUUUGAGGGACAUCCACAGUUCUUCAGUAGGUGAAUGGAUGGAUACAUUGUGGUCCAUCUGUUACGACAGUUAUUCAAAAGAAAUAACUCCCCAGCGUGCAGGCCGGGUGUCAGGGCAACUAACGGGAGAGCAACAGGAAUGGGGGGGGG
Molecule: long non-coding RNA, 637 nt
Filed under: Vulpes vulpes (red fox)
Lineage: Eukaryota; Metazoa; Chordata; Mammalia; Carnivora; Canidae
Description: lncRNA (ENSVVUG00000005230.1)
Source: RNAcentral